CCUACGCGAGGCAGCAGUGAGGAAUAUUGGUCAAUGGGCGCGAGCCUGAACCAGCCAAGUAGCGUGAAGGAUGACUGCCCUACGGGUUGUAAACUUCUUUUAUAAAGGAAUAAAGUGAGGCACGUGUGCCUUUUUGUAUGUACUUUAUGAAUAGGGAUCGGCUAACUCCGUGCCUGCAGCCACGGUAAUACGGAGGAUCCGAGCGUUAUCCGGAUUUAUUGGGUUUAAAGGGAGCGUAGAUGGGUUGUUAAGACAGUUUCAAAAGUUUGCGGCUCAACCGGAAAAUUGCAAUUGAUACUGGCAGUCUUGAGUACAGUUGAGGUAGGCGGAAUACGUAGUGUAGCGGUGAAAUGCUUAGAU
Molecule: ribosomal RNA, 360 nt
Filed under: uncultured bacterium
Lineage: Bacteria
Description: partial 16S ribosomal RNA
Rfam family: Bacterial small subunit ribosomal RNA
Source: RNAcentral